GGCUGUUGAGAAGCUGAAGGGAUAAGGCCGGAUGUCCGCUGCCCAGGACAAGGCUCCUGCGUGCCUUUCCAGACUUGACUCAAGCCAGCUCCUAAAACCAGGCUCACGGCAGGCGCAGCCCUAAUCGUUGCUGGCGAGAUCAAGUGCGCCAGGCUCAGGGCAUUUGCAGGUCUGGAUCUGGAUUUUAAUUGUCUUGAUUGAAGGGGC
Long non-coding RNA from Lemur catta (Ring-tailed lemur), 207 nucleotides. RefSeq lists it as uncharacterized. The record is from RefSeq and is a predicted model, not a curated record. NCBI's taxonomy places the organism in Eukaryota, Metazoa, Chordata, Mammalia, Primates, Lemuridae. The transcript is spliced from 3 exons.